Molecule: long non-coding RNA, 283 nt
Filed under: Ursus maritimus (polar bear)
Lineage: Eukaryota; Metazoa; Chordata; Mammalia; Carnivora; Ursidae
Description: lncRNA (ENSUMAG00000019313.1)
Source: RNAcentral
AGUAACCUCCAAGGACCCCAGCUUGCACUAAGAGCACUGAGGAAAUGUGUCCACAGCCUGUUCUUGCUGAGCUGACCCAAACGCUUAGAAGAACACGAUAUGAAUCAGUAACCCCACUUCCUGUGAAAAGUGCAACCACAAGUGGCCAUCUGCACUGGCAUACAGGCAGGCAAUUGUCCAAGGAAAGAAUUUGGAGCUUCCAAUCUGAUUCCAACCUUUUCCAUGUGAUCUCUUGUACCCAUUCUAUUUUUGUACCACACAUAAUAAAGUUUGAGAGUGUCAA